This is a small nucleolar RNA of Bos indicus x Bos taurus (hybrid cattle), 80 nucleotides long. The record is from Ensembl. NCBI's taxonomy places the organism in Eukaryota, Metazoa, Chordata, Mammalia, Artiodactyla, Bovidae.
CUGGCUACAUGAUGAAUAAAAUCAAAUCACCAUCUUUCGGCUGAGCUCUUGAUGGAUUUGCUUUUUUCUGACAAAGCCAG